Molecule: ribosomal RNA, 508 nt
Filed under: uncultured bacterium
Lineage: Bacteria
Description: bacterial SSU rRNA
Rfam family: Bacterial small subunit ribosomal RNA
Source: RNAcentral
UAGUCCAUGCCGUAAACGGUGGGCACUAGAUGUGGGUCCUAUUCCAUGGGAUCCGUGUCGCAGCUAACGCAUUAAGUGCCCCGCCUGGGGAGUACGGCCGCAAGGCUAAAACUCAAAGGAAUUGACGGGGGCCCGCACAAGCGGCGGAGCAUGCGGAUUAAUUCGAUGCAACGCGAAGAACCUUACCAAGGCUUGACAUAUACGGUUUAUCCAUAGAGAUAUGGAGUCCUUAGGGGCUGUAUACAGGUGGUGCAUGGUUGUCGUCAGCUCGUGUCGUGAGAUGUUGGGUUAAGUCCCGCAACGAGCGCAACCCUCGUUCUAUGUUGCCAGCGCGUAAUGGCGGGGACUCAUAGAAGACUGCCGGGGUCAACUCGGAGGAAGGUGGGGAUGACGUCAAAGUCAUCAUGCCCCUUAUGUCUUGGGCUUCACGCAUGCUACAAUGGCCGGUACAAAGGGCUGCGAAACUGUAAAGUUUAGCGAAUCCCAAAAAGCCGGUACUCAGUUCGGU